AUACGUAGGGUGCGAGCGUUGUCCGGAAUUACUGGGCGUAAAGCGCUCGUAGGUGGUUUGUCGCGUCGUCUGUGAAAUUCCGGGGCUUAACUCCGGGCGUGCAGGCGAUACGGGCAUAACUUGAGUACUGUAGGGGAGACUGGAAUUCCUGGUGUAGCGGUGAAAUGCGCAGAUAUCAGGAGGAACACCGGUGGCGAAGGCGGGUCUCUGGGCAGUAACUGACGCUGAGGAGCGAAAGCAUGGGUAGCGAACAGGAUUAGAUACCCUGGUAUUCCAUGCCGUAAACGGUGGGCGCUAGGUGUAGGGGUCUUCCACGACUUCUGUGGCGUAGCUAACGCAUUAAGCGCCCCGCCUGGGGAGUACGGCCGCAAGGCUAAAACUCAAAUGAAUUGACGGGG
Molecule: ribosomal RNA, 398 nt
Filed under: uncultured bacterium
Lineage: Bacteria
Description: partial 16S ribosomal RNA
Rfam family: Bacterial small subunit ribosomal RNA
Source: RNAcentral